AACGAACGCUGGCGGCGCGCUUAACACAUGCAAGUCGAACGAGAAGGCGUAGCAAUACGCUUGUACAGUGGCGAACGGGUGAGUAAUACGUGGGCGACCUACCCUCGAGUGGGGAAUAACCCGCCGAAAGGCGGGCUAAUGCCGCGUACGCUUCCAUCUUUAUGGAGGUGGAAGGAAAGCCGUGCCGUGGGCACGGCGCUCAAGGAUGGGCUCACGUCCUAUCAGCUUGNGGUAGGGUAACGGCCUACCAAGGCUCCGACGGGUAGCUGGUCUGAGAGGACGAUCAGCCACACUGGCACUGCGACACGGGCCAGACUCCUACGGGAGGCAGCAGUGAGGAAUAUUGCGCAAUGGGCGAAAGCCUGACGCAGCGGCGCCGCA
RNAcentral lists this ribosomal RNA (381 nucleotides) under uncultured bacterium. RNAcentral describes it as "bacterial SSU rRNA". It matches the Rfam family "Bacterial small subunit ribosomal RNA", at positions 29 to 401 of the family's 1533-position model. The record is from RNAcentral.